GGGUCAGUAGGUUGGUCGUGCCACCGGUACGUACUGGUCUCACUGAUUCCUCCUUCCUGAAGAACCGUAACGCCAUUAAUUUGGUGUUGCGGGGAAACAGGACUGUUACUUUGAAAAAAUUAGAGUGUUUAAAGCAAGCUAACGCUUGAAUACAUUAGCAUGGAAUAAUGAAAUAGGGCGAUCGAUCCUAUUUUGUUGGUUUCUAGGAUUGACGUA
RNAcentral lists this ribosomal RNA (216 nucleotides) under Glomeromycotina sp. RNAcentral's name for it is "partial small subunit ribosomal RNA". The stretch from base 75 to 216 matches the Rfam family "Eukaryotic small subunit ribosomal RNA", at positions 721 to 864 of the family's 1831-position model. Lineage: Eukaryota; Fungi; Glomeromycota. The record is from RNAcentral.